UAGUCCACGCCGUAAACGAUGGAUACUAGAUGUCGGGGGCUCUUGCCCUUCCGGUGUCGAAGCUAACGCGUUAAGUAUCCCGCCUGUGGAGUACGGCCGCAAGGCUAAAACAUAAAGAAAUUGACGGGGCCCGCACAAGCGGUGGAGUAUGUGGUUUAAUUCGAUGCAACGCGAAGAACCUUACCUGGAUUUGACAUCCCGUGCUACCCCUGGAAACAGGGGGUUCUCUUCGGAGACGCGGUGACAGGUGCUGCAUGGCUGUCGUCAGCUCGUGUCGUGAGAUGUUGGGUUAAGUCCCGCAACGAGCGCAACCCUUGUCUUUAGUUGCCAUCAUUAAGUUGGGCACUUUAAAGAGACUGCCGGUGACUAAACCGGAGGAAGGUAAGGAUGACGUCAAGUCAGCAUGCCCCUUAUGCUCUGGGGCUACACACGUGCUACAAUGGCCGUGACAAAGAGUUGCUACUUUGUGAAAACAAGCU
This 479-nucleotide ribosomal RNA is filed under the name uncultured bacterium. Its description in RNAcentral is "bacterial SSU rRNA". It matches the Rfam family "Bacterial small subunit ribosomal RNA", at positions 791 to 1269 of the family's 1533-position model. The record is from RNAcentral.